This 433-nucleotide ribosomal RNA is filed under the name uncultured bacterium. Its description in RNAcentral is "partial 16S ribosomal RNA". It matches the Rfam family "Bacterial small subunit ribosomal RNA", at positions 29 to 507 of the family's 1533-position model. The record is from RNAcentral.
AGCGAACGCUGGCGGCAGGCUUAACACAUGCAAGUCGAGCGGGCACUUCGGUGUCAGCGGCAGACGGGUGAGUAACACGUGGGAACGUACCCUUUGGUUCGGAAUAACGCUGGGAAACUAGCGCUAAUACCGGAUACGCCCUUUUGGGGAAAGGCUUGCUGCCGAAGGAUCGGCCCGCGUCUGAUUAGCUAGUUGGUGGGGUAAUGGCCUACCAAGGCGACGAUCAGUAGCUGGUCUGAGAGGAUGAUCAGCCACACUGGGACUGAGACACGGCCCAGACUCCUACGGGAGGCAGCAGUGGGGAAUAUUGGACAAGGGGCGCAAGCCUGAUCCAGCCAGGCCGCGUGAGUGAUGAAGGCCUUAGGGUUGUAAAGCUCUUUUGUCCGGGACGAUAAUGACGGUACCGGAAGAAUAAGCCCCGGCUAACUUCGUG